RNAcentral lists this long non-coding RNA (438 nucleotides) under Eucalyptus grandis. RNAcentral describes it as "long non-coding RNA (EGRA_LNC005151)". Lineage: Eukaryota; Viridiplantae; Streptophyta; Magnoliopsida; Myrtales; Myrtaceae. The record is from RNAcentral.
GUCUUGUUGUCGAAUGAAGCUUGGACUUGAUGAAUCCACAGAGAAGAUCUAAAGAGAGAGAUGCCAACCGUAAGAACCGCCAAAAGCAGUGGCUGAAUGGAGUUUUGCUUCUCACAAACCCACAAACACACGGACAAAAUUUUAGAAUUUGAAGAAAAGGGAAAAGGUGACCGACCGCCGAUUACGCAUCAAGAUUCGAUAUUGAUGAUAUUCUAGUGCUGGGCGCAGGCUAAAAAAUGGUGGGUUUCUCGUUUCUUGGAAAUUCAUGGACGAGAGAGAGAGAGAGAGAGGACUACACCUGUACAAGAAUCUCCAAUCAAGUGCGGAAGCUAUUCUUGGUCACGACAGAGACGACGAUUAAAGAAAGAGGAACAGUUCUUGGAACGGUCUUGGCACAGGUUGAAUGGAGUUAAGAGAAUACAGCCACGGACAGUGAUG